This 707-nucleotide ribosomal RNA is filed under the name uncultured fungus. RNAcentral describes it as "SSU rRNA". It matches the Rfam family "Eukaryotic small subunit ribosomal RNA", at positions 345 to 1050 of the family's 1831-position model. Lineage: Eukaryota; Fungi. The record is from RNAcentral.
CAUGGUGGUAACGGGUAACGGGGAAUUAGGGUUCGAUUCCGGAGAGGGAGCCUGAGAAACGGCUACCACUUCCAAGGAAGGCAGCAGGCGCGCAAAUUACCCAAUCCCGACACGGGGAGGUAGUGACAAUAAAUAACAAUACGGGGCUCUUUCGGGUCUCGUAAUUGGAAUGAGUACAAUUUAAAUCCCUUAACGAGGAACAAUUGGAGGGCAAGUCUGGUGCCAGCAGCCGCGGUAAUUCCAGCUCCAAUAGCGUAUAUUAAAGUUGUUGCAGUUAAAAAGCUCGUAGUUGAAUUUCGGGAUUGACGUGAUGGUCGUGCCUUAAGGGGUAUGAACUGUCGCAGUUGAUUUCUCACCUUCUGGAGAAGCAUGAUGUCCUUAAUUGGGUGUCAUGUGGAACCAGGACCUUUACCUUGAAAAAAUUAGAGUGUUUAAAGCAGGCAUUCUGCUCGAAUACAUUAGCAUGGAAUAAUAGAAUAGGACGGCAUGGUUCUAUUUUGUUGGUUUCUAGGAUCACCGUAAUGAUUAAUAGGGAUAGUUGGGGGCAUUAGUAUUCAAUUGUCAGAGGUGAAAUUCUUGGAUUUAUUGAAGACUAACUACUGCGAAAGCAUUUGCCAAGGAUGUUUUCAUUAAUCAAGAACGAAAGUUAGGGGAUCGAAGACGAUCAGAUACCGUCGUAGUCUUAACCAUAGACUAUGCCGACUAGG